AGUGAACGCUGGCGGUAGGCCUAACACAUGCAAGUCGAACGGCAGCACAGUAAGAGCUUGCUCUUACGGGUGGCGAGUGGCGGACGGGUGAGGAAUACAUCGGAAUCUACUUUUUCGUGGGGGAUAACGUAGGGAAACUUACGCUAAUACCGCAUACGACCUACGGGUGAAAGCAGGGGAUCUUCGGACCUUGCGCGAUUGAAUGAGCCGAUGUCGGAUUAGCUAGUUGGCGGGGUAAAGGCCCACCAAGGCGACGAUCCGUAGCUGGUCUGAGAGGAUGAUCAGCCACACUGGAACUGAGACACGGUCCAGACUCCAACGGGAGGCAGCAGUGGGGAAUAUUAGACAAUGGGCGCAAGCCUGAUCCAGCCAUACCGCGUGGGUGAAGAAGGCCUUCGGGUUUUAAAGCCCUUUUGUUGGGAAAGAAAAGCAGCAGGUUAAUACCCCGCUGUUCUGACGGUACCCAAAGAAUAAGCACCGGCUAACUUCGUG
This 492-nucleotide ribosomal RNA is filed under the name uncultured bacterium. RNAcentral describes it as "partial 16S ribosomal RNA". It matches the Rfam family "Bacterial small subunit ribosomal RNA", at positions 29 to 507 of the family's 1533-position model. The record is from RNAcentral.